GUCAGGAUGGCCGAAUGGUCCAAGGCGCCAGACUUCCCGUGCUUGGGGUUUCUGGUCUCCAGGUGGAGGCACGGGUUCGAAUCCCACUUGUGACA
RNAcentral lists this transfer RNA (95 nucleotides) under Loxodonta africana (African savanna elephant). It matches the Rfam family "tRNA". From Rfam's summary of the family: Transfer RNA (tRNA) molecules are approximately 80 nucleotides in length. Their secondary structure includes four short double-helical elements and three loops (D, anti-codon, and T loops). The record is from Rfam by way of RNAcentral. Lineage: Eukaryota; Metazoa; Chordata; Mammalia; Proboscidea; Elephantidae.